GAUUGAAAGCUCUUUCUUGAUUCAGUGGGUGGUGGUGCAUGGCCGUUCUUAGUUGGUGGAGUGAUUUGUCUGGUUAAUUCCGUUAACGAACGAGACCUUAACCUGCUAAAUAGUCACGCGAACCGGUCCGCAAGGGCUCAAAGUUCGCGGCUCGACUUCUUAGAGGGACUAUUCGCACCCGCCAGCGAAUGGAAGUUUGAGGCAAUAACAGGUCUGUGAUGCCCUUAGAUGUUCUCGGCCGCACGCGCGUUACACUGACGGAGUCAACGAGCGUUUUUCCUUGCCCGAUAGGGUUGGGUAACCUCCUGAAACUCCGUCGUGAUGGGGAUAGAUCAUUGCAAUUAUUGAUCUUGAACG
Molecule: ribosomal RNA, 357 nt
Filed under: Vermamoeba vermiformis
Lineage: Eukaryota; Tubulinea; Echinamoebida; Vermamoebidae
Description: SSU rRNA
Rfam family: Eukaryotic small subunit ribosomal RNA
Source: RNAcentral